CCUAUACAUGCAAGUCGAACGAACUCUGGUAUUGAUUGGUGCUUGCAUCAUGAUUUACAUUUGAGUGAGUGGCGAACUGGUGAGUAACACGUGGGAAACCUGCCCAGAAGCGGGGGAUAACACCUGGAAACAGAUGCUAAUACCGCAUAACAACUUGGACCGCAUGGUCCGAGUUUGAAAGAUGGCUUCGGCUAUCACUUUUGGAUGGUCCCGCGGCGUAUUAGCUAGAUGGUGAGGUAACGGCUCACCAUGGCAAUGAUACGUAGCCGACCUGAGAGGGUAAUCGGCCACAUUGGGACUGAGACACGGCCCAAACUCCUACGGGAGGCAGCAGUAGGGAAUCUUCCACAAUGGACGAAAGUCUGAUGGAGCAACGCCGCGUGAGUGAAGAAGGGUUUCGGCUCGUAAAACUCUGUUGUUAAAGAAGAACAUAUCUGAGAGUAACUGUUCAGGUAUUGACGGUAUUUAACCAGAAAGCCACGGCUAACUACGUGCCAGCAGCCGCGGUAAUACGUAGGUGGCAAGCGUUGUCCGGAUUUAUUGGGCGUAAAGCGAGCGCAGGCGGUUUUUUAAGUCUGAUGUGAAAGCCUUCGGCUCAACCGAAGAAGUGCAUCGGAAACUGGGAAACUUGAGUGCAGAAGAGGACAGUGGAACUCCAUGUGUAGCGGUGAAAUGCGUAGAUAUAUGGAAGAACACCAGUGGCGAAGGCGGCUGUCUGGUCUGUAACUGACGCUGAGGCUCGAAAGUAUGGGUAGCAAACAGGAUUAGAUACCCUGGUAGUCCAUACCGUAAACGAUGAAUGCUAAGUGUUGGAGGGUUUCCGCCCUUCAGUGCUGCAGCUAACGCAUUAAGCAUUCCGCCUGGGGAGUACGGCCGCAAGGCUGAAACUC
Molecule: ribosomal RNA, 890 nt
Filed under: Lactiplantibacillus plantarum
Lineage: Bacteria; Bacillati; Bacillota; Bacilli; Lactobacillales; Lactobacillaceae
Description: bacterial SSU rRNA
Rfam family: Bacterial small subunit ribosomal RNA
Source: RNAcentral